UACAGAGGGUGCAAGCGUUAAUCGGAAUUACUGGGCGUAAAGCGAGCGUAGGUGGCUUGAUAAGUCAGAUGUGAAAUCCCCGGGCUUAACCUGGGAACUGCAUCUGAUACUGUUAGGCUAGAAUAGGUGAGAGGAAGGUAGAAUUCCAGGUGUAGCGGUGAAAUGCGUAGAGAUCUGGAGGAAUACCGAUGGCGAAGGCAGCCUUCUGGCAUCAUAUUGACACUGAGGUUCGAAAGCGUGGGUAGCAAACAGGA
RNAcentral lists this ribosomal RNA (254 nucleotides) under uncultured prokaryote. Its description in RNAcentral is "partial 16S ribosomal RNA". It matches the Rfam family "Bacterial small subunit ribosomal RNA", at positions 524 to 777 of the family's 1533-position model. The record is from RNAcentral.